UUAACAAAAGUGCUUAUGACCGUUCGUUAUGCUACAAAAGUACUCCUCAACAUGCCCGAAGGGUACCAAAAGCACACAGCCCUCACCGUCACAACCCACACCAACACCACCAUUAAGUCCAAGAGAACCCACUAAAAACUCAUCAAAACCUCUUUUCCAAUUUUAAUGGCGUCCGAAAAAUCACCACUCUUUGAGUGGCAUUUCAGUGAUCUCAACCACUCCAACUUCCACAUCGACAGCCGAGGACUCUUACUAGUCCUCUUCUUCUUCUCUCUGAUCUUCAUCAUCACUACCCUAUCCUUCUAUGCUCGUUGGGCUUGUAUCAGAGGUCGUCUCUCAACAACAACCUCUAGGGCUACAAAUAUUGCAUCUUUGCCACAAGUUCAUCAGUCGCUAGGGCUCGAUGCUGCCGCCAUUGAUAACUUGCCGGUUGUCUUGCAUCGAUCGGUGGAGAAGAGAAGGUUAAGGUGUUGCCAAAGUGCCAACAUACAUAUCAUUCUGAGUGUGUGGAUAAGUGGCUGACCGUUCAGUCUAGCUGCCCGCUUUGUAGAUUGUCCCUCCGAGUCAUCACCUCUCUUUAGUUAAUAAUAUGACCUCCUCAUCGAUUUUAUAUCAUAAUAUUUUCAUGUAUAUGACUGGAUAAUUACACAAUUUAAUUUUAUAAUAAUUACAGGUUUUAUACAAAAUUCACCCUUAUGAUCUGUUAUAGAUAAUUCGUAUUUUUGUGUAAUUCUAUUGCCAUCUCAUAUAUGCAUUUUGUAAAAAGAGAAUCAAAUACAAGACCGUAGAUACCUUCGUCUUUCUACCAUGAACUACAACGGCCCAUGGGCGUCGCCAAUGGCUGAGAGUCCCACUUUGCAGCUAGAUAAAAUGAUCUCUUCAAUGAAUCAUUCUCUUCCAGAUUCUGCGUACAUAUAUGACUGGAUAACUUUGAGACUGAGUUUUAUGCAAAAUUUACUCAUGUUUUGCAUGUACGUAAUUAUACUUUCGCGUAAUUCUAUUGCCAUUUAAUUCAUGCAUUUGUGAAAAGAGAGAAAUGAGUACAUGAUCUCUGAUGCAGUGUUGCAUAUUAUUUCAGUCGUGAGCUACAAAUAUUUCAUUUUGCUUACCUCAAUCACUCAGUUACUCAUCAGUGUCUUCAAACAGCAAUACAUGUCUGCUCAAGGACCUACCGGUUUAGGUAAAUAUCUAAUGCGUUUGCCGACCGGGGAAGUUAUUUUUGGAGGAGAAACUAUGUGUUUUUGGGAUCUGCGUGCUCCCUAGUUAGAACCCUUAAGGGGUCCUAAUGGUUUGGACUUGAGUAGGUUGAAAAAAGACAUACAGCCUUGGCAAGAACGAUGUUCUGCGGAAUAUAUGACUCAUGCUCCUUUAGGUUCUUUAAAUUCCAUGGGUGGCGUAGCUACCGAGAUCAACGCAGUAAAUUAUGUUUCUCCUAGAAGUUAGUUAGCUACUUCUCAUUUUGUUCUAGGAUUCUUCCUAUUCAUAGGUCAUUUAUGGCACGUGGGAAGGGCUCGUGCAGCUACAACAGGAUUUGAAAAAGGAAUUGGUCGUGAUUUUUAACCUGUUCUUUCCAUGACUCCUCUUAACUGAGACAGAGAUCCAAUGCUUGAAGUA
This is a long non-coding RNA of Malus domestica (apple), 1614 nucleotides long. RefSeq lists it as uncharacterized. The record is from RefSeq and is a predicted model, not a curated record. NCBI's taxonomy places the organism in Eukaryota, Viridiplantae, Streptophyta, Magnoliopsida, Rosales, Rosaceae.